RNAcentral lists this long non-coding RNA (1227 nucleotides) under Coturnix japonica (Japanese quail). Its description in RNAcentral is "lncRNA (ENSCJPG00005008041.1)". Lineage: Eukaryota; Metazoa; Chordata; Aves; Galliformes; Phasianidae. The record is from RNAcentral.
AUGAUGAAUCUUUCUGACCAAGGAGCUGGUGUAUCAGAUCUAGCUGGCAGCACACAGAACACAUUAGGAAAACAAAGAGAAUGUGAGAUUAAACUGAAAGCAGGCAACAGAGGCAUUUUCUCACUGUUCUGCGUGAAGGCAGAAGAUGCUUCAAGAGGAUACAACCUCGGUUUUCUUGUUGGAACUGUGGCCUCUUCCCCCCAUCAGAUUAUUCAAAGAGCUGCUAAUGUUGAGCUGACACAUAUCGAGUUAUUCCUGAUUGAUACCAGGAGCCUGAGUCUUACACAGCAGGACAUCUCCGGACUUGCACCCAUUUGCACUUGGGUGGCAAAACAAAUAAUGAAGGCAGAAUCCCAAGGAGGGUUAUGAUAAAGCUGUGUAGAGAAGAAGGGACGAUGACUUCCCUGGGCUGGGACUGGAUAUCUGCCUGUUUGCAAAGGGAAAGAGCAAUGAUGACUUUCUAGCCAAAGGCCACUGCCAUCCUACACCUACCUGGCUGUCUGCUCGUGCUCAGGCUUAUUCCAACCCUAAAUGCAUUUAAAAAGGUAAUAAUACUGAACUCACCAAAUUGAUACAUCAGUACAUCUAUUGUAGUAUGGCUGAAAUGCAGAGUAGAGAUGCUGGGUAACAGCAUGGGUGGCACAAACAGCGGGACAGAUUUGUGACUAGGGUAAGGGCUUGAUAUUCACUGCAUAUGCAGCGUGCCCAGGAAAUCAGUAUGUUUGUGUACAGGGAAUUGCAGCUUGUCCUCUGCCCUGCUCCCAGCCUACCUAUUUUUGCACGCACCAGGCAACAUCUUAUGCCUGCUUGCAUUGUAGUGUCACCUCUAACGUCAGGGGGCUUUAAUUCAAUAGUUAAAUCUGCCCUAGGACAUCAGCAGCAAACUGUCCUAACUUGAUUUCCCUAACCCAGGGACCUCAUUCACCACUGUCUUCCCAGCACAUGGAUUUUCAGAUGUCCUUGCUCCUUUAAUGCAGUUAUGAAACAACACUAUUUUCUAUAACCUUAUACAUCUGCUGACAGGGUAGAAAAGAAACCUAACACAAGCCAAAUUUUGUAAUUUCUUCUCCAGACAGAAAUUAAUUUACCAGCAGAGGGCUCUCUUAUGAUUAAAUUUUUUUUCUUUCCUUUUUUUUUUUUUAAUUCCUUUUUUUUUUUUUUUUUCCUUUGCCAAGGUUACCGCCAGGUUUAAAUAAAAAUAAUAAAAAAAAAAAAAAAAAAGAAAGA